RNAcentral lists this ribosomal RNA (253 nucleotides) under uncultured bacterium. RNAcentral's name for it is "partial 16S ribosomal RNA". It matches the Rfam family "Bacterial small subunit ribosomal RNA", at positions 524 to 776 of the family's 1533-position model. The record is from RNAcentral.
UACGUAGGGUGCAAGCGUUGUCCGGAAUUAUUGGGCGUAAAGAGCUUGUAGGCGGUUUGUCGCGUCUGCUGUGAAAUUUCGGGGCUCAACCCCGAACUUGCAGUGGGUACGGGCAGACUAGAGUGUGGUAGGGGAGACUGGAAUUCCUGGUGUAGCGGUGAAAUGCGCAGAUAUCAGGAGGAACACCAAUGGCGAAGGCAGCUCGCUGGGACGGUACUGACGCUGAGACGCGAAAGCGUGGGGAGCGAACAGG